Peromyscus californicus insignis is the source of this 8281-nucleotide long non-coding RNA. RefSeq lists it as uncharacterized. The record is from RefSeq and is a predicted model, not a curated record. Lineage: Eukaryota; Metazoa; Chordata; Mammalia; Rodentia; Cricetidae. The transcript is spliced from 4 exons.
GGUGCGCAGUGUUCUGCACUUCUGCACGUCUGGCAGCGGGUGCUGUUGAGAGACGUAGGGCGCAGAGUGAGGGCAGGUUUAUCUCUACUUAGGUAGUGUGGACCAGGCUACUGAGACGGGAAGUCAGCCCCUGUCCUGAGGGCAGGCGCCGAGUGUCCCUGCAGGAACAUUCCUCCACCGCCUGAUUCUCUCUUUGCGCUCCACCCACAGAGAGGAGACCAAGGAAGGCGCCCGAGGAAAAACACCGGAGGCUGCCGCCAAUGGGGUGCUGCUCCCUGCCUCUCUUAGAAAGCUGGGUGUCUAGCGGCCUCUUGAAAGAAGGCUUUUUCUGGGGUUCUAGGAGGACUAAAGACAGUUCCUUCACACCCCUUUUAUGACUUUCUCACUUGCCCUGAUCUCCAUCACUCCCCAAGUUCGACUUUGGAUGUGUGGAGAAAUUGGGUUCAAGGCCUGGAUCGCCUCUAUGUCCAGAAAGACCCAGAGAACAAGAGGGUCACCGAGGUGAUGGGCCUAGGCGAGUCUUGUAAGAGCUGACUCGGUCCCACUCCUCCCCACCCUAGGAGAGAACAAAAGGAGAGACCUGGAGCGAGAUCCAGAGGCAGGCGGCCGCGCGCGUGGACGUCCUGGCCACAGCUAGUGCCACGGCAGGGCGCAGGCCUGGCUAAAGGUACCCAGGAAUUCUGAGCAUCCAACUCUAAACUGGUGCACUGUGCUCUUACCACAUGAUGAAUUCUAAAAGCCAUCCCUGGCUCCUCCUCGUGGCCUUCUUCCCAUAAACCCCUGGAUGGAUCCACAUGGAGAAAAAUACACAGGGGCAAGAAAGAUGAGGAGAGCCCCUGUCGGCAGAGGACAUGGAGCAGCUUUGCAUGUGAUCUGAUGAACUGACUCAGAUGUGUUUCUAGACAGCCCUGGCCAGAACCUCAAGGAGCCCACUAAAGCCAAUCAAAGGCUCAGGUUCUAGUGAGCGGCUGGCCACCUUCUGGAAACUCCUUGCUUGGCCUCUGGAGGUUUUGACUUCAUAGUUUGGAUUGUCAUUACCUGUCUUGUCUGUUGGUAAGUGGUUGUUGACUUAUAUUUGUAAGAGGAGGAGCAUUGGGAAAUCCUGUCUUCCAUAUUUGUGACAUCACCCUUGUCCACCAGUGUCAUGGAGUAGGGCCUAUUGUCUCUGCUCACACUCUCAAGGACACUUCUUUGCCCAUACCAUUGACCAAUGUCCUCAUACUGACAAACGUUCUAAGGCCUCUGUCUUAGAGAUCCUGGGCCCAGUUGUAUUCUGAGUGGCUUUCUUUGGAUCACUCAAAAGAUAUCUCAAAUUUACAUGUCCCAGAGGCAAGCUUCAUGUGCUGUUGCCCAGUGACAGAUCCAUCUACUCCCAGGCUGUCUGAUAAAGGCUCUGAAGGCUACAAGUUAAGAGUAGUGCUCAGAGCUUGGCUUCAGAGCAGGGAGGCUUGUGCUUAGAAUAUCCUCUUCCUCUUAGCGAAGCUUGCCUCCCUGCCCUAGCCCUUGUCGCUGUGUGCUUCAUCUUUUAUUCUCUGCACAGCUAGUUUCCACCCCCUAACUGAUCACCAGCCUUGACUUCACCUAAAUUCUGUUCAUUUUUUUUGACUGGCUGUCAAAAGCUUCCCUGCCCAGCAUCCCAGGAUCCAUCCUGCCACCUAAUCUGUGCUUACCAAGUAGCACCACUUCAACUUCUGUUUUCCAAGCACCUCCUGUGGGUGCUAUACCUUCUCCUGCACACAUCUCCCCAGAGUCCAGGCCAGGUAGCAUUACCUACAUUUCUGUCUGUUACUUGUCCCCUGUGGUCAGACUGCUGGGUGGUGGGGGUACUCCUCCCCUCUCCUUUGUUGCUGGGUUUGGCCCUGGUGACAUGGUUUUGGCUUAUUUCUCCCUCUCUCCAUGCUACACUCUAUCCCUGAGGUAGAUAGCUCUGAUAAGGGGUGGACAGGAGGGACAGGGAGUGGGGAGGGCUGGAUUUCACAAAGCAUUGCAACACUUUGCCUUCUGGACAUCUGGUGUUCAGACUCAGAGGCAUAGGGCCCUUUGCUUGUCUUAGGUCAGCCUCUUUAUUUAUGCCCUCCAACCCAUCAGCACAGGCCUCCUCCUUUUCAUGACACCCUGCUAUCUUCCUGUCAAUGUGCCCACAUACCAUCUUUCCUCCCUCACCAAGUCCUCUGAAUGCUGCCUCACUCUGGUUCCCAGCAGUCCUGGGGUUUGGAUGUAAUUGCUCCCCAGCCACUGUGUCCAGGGCCACACAUCAUCCUACCUGCUGAGAUGCCCACAACCUAGCUCUUUGGGCAGGGCCAUGUCAGCUGCACUUGCAUUGAUACUCAGCUGCAGUGAUGCUCCCUCCUAGCUUCCUACCUUUCCCUUCCUUCCCCAGCUGGCCAGGUUUCUGGCUUGCUUUGCCUCCUCCUGGCCAAUUGCCCCAGGUCUGUUUCUCAGGCAUUCCAUACCUUCUCAUGUCCUCACUGGAUGACCUCAGCUUCUUUCCUUGGUCACAACUGUGACAUCAGUGUCUCUGAGUAUCUUGUCCAUACCUCUUACUGCCAGCUGGCUAUUACCACCUGGAAGCCCAUAGCACUUCAGAUGUUAGUUAAAAAUUGAGUUCAUGGUUAUUCCUUCCCACCUCUAGCCUGAUGUCUCUUUCCAUGGCCUUCACAUACUCUUACAGACGUUAAAGUUCUAUACACAUAUCCCUUUGGCUCUGUCAACUCCUGCCCCUCCUGGUCUGCACUGUUCUGUUUUCAGCAUUGCUUCUUCCCAGCCCCCAUUCCCAUCUCAAAGCCAGAGGGAUUGUCUUAAGACAGAUACUUAGCUACUCCUCCCUUUAGGGCCCCUUAAUGGUCCCUUGUGGCCUUGAGAACAAAGUCCAGCUUGCAGGUCCUACGUGACCUGGCUCUUGUGCCCCUCUGGCCUCCCCUCUCCCACUUCCUCCCUGCUCACAUUCCAGUCCCAGCUCUUUAUUUGCAGUUUCCAGAAUACACUAGGAUACUUAGUGUCCCUCUGCUUUAUUCUAAAUAAGGUCACAUUCUGAAGCUCCAGGUGGACUCAUGUUUUGUGAGGCCACUAUUUAGCUUAGUAAUUCCUCUCCCUGACCCUCAAAUUCACAUCAACAGCAUGUAGAAAACAUUAUUCCACUCCAUCCCUCCUGUCAUUCCUCUGUCUGCCCUCAUGCAGUCUGCCUUUCUGCCAGGAAAGGGUACACUUUUUUUAAAAAACCCUAGCCUCAUCAACCUGGGAAAGGGCCAUCACUGUCUCUAGUACCUUGUCCCAGCCUGGAUCAUGGAAGGGCUCUAGCAAGGUGAGUAGAGCCAGGAAUGAAGAGAGUUGCAAGCCUGGGACCCUGCUCUAUACUUAGGCUGUGUGCAGCUGGACAGGGCAGUGAACAGCUGGUUUCAGGCAGGCUCUGGGAUCUGGGACCAUAAGCUGUUGCUUUGCAUCCCACCACCAUUCCUGGAAAAGGUAGUUACACACUGUACCCUAGGCUUAGUCCUAAACUAGGCUGCCAGGGUAUGGAGAGGCCCAAGAAUGGGGCCUACCUCCAGGGGACCUCUGCCUCCUAGGACAGCUGGCUUCAAUAGCUGUUGUCAUUUGCCUAAGGCUACCAACUCUGCCCAUGCAGUCAAUAGGCACCUUGUUGCUUGCCUUAUUCACUCUUGUGGCCUCAUUCUGCCUCCAGGCAAGGAUUCCUACCCUGCAAGUUCCGUCCUGUCCUAUUCCAUCCUGUCCUGUGUCCCAUCAGCCCCCUCUUCCAGGCCCUGAUAGUUGCCUUCAAAUCCCUGUCUCCUGUUCCAGAGCCUGAAGGCACUGCCUUGCAUCCUGGAGGCUCCAGCUUCUUUGGUUCUUCUGGUCCAGGCUCCCCUCAGGCUCCUUUCCCACUGUCCACCAUCUGCCAUAACCCUUGCUGGUCUCAACAGUACAAUUCCAGUUUUUGUUUCUGGCAUUUUCCUUCCCAGAAAGUAUCUAAUACUUUCAGACAUGCUUCAAUCAUCUCAGGCCAGCCCCAGCUUCUUUCUCCCUAGUGUUCUCACCUUCCACCCCCUUCAGCUGGUGCCGGUAUCUCUUCAAGGCCUCAGGCCACUUCAGGUGGCUGGGACUAGCUUAAAGAGAGGCAAGUGUGUGCUUGUCAAGGCUUUGCUGGCCACAGGCCUCCCCUUCCUUCUUCAGCUGGCCAACUCCCAGGUACUGUAGGAAGAGGACAAGCUGCCAUGUUAUCACACUGGUGGUCCCUGGGACACUUCUGCCACAUGUUCCAUGACCAGUUAGCUGCAGACCUCUCUACUGAGGAAACCAUAAUGAGUGGUUGUCUGGGAAGAGGGAAAGCAUCUCUGUGAGGUAUAGGUCAUCUUGGUGGCUGCACAGAAUCCCACCAGACAGAGGCACAAGCAUGCACCAAGAGCUGUGGUCCCUAGGAAAUAUGGGGUAGGAUACUGUGACAAGGCUGGCCUGUCUAGUGUUCUGGGCUUGCUGUAUUUUACUGAAGAACAGGGGACAACACCAAGUGAUGGUGGCACACGCCUUUAAUCCCAGCACUUGGGAGGCAGAGCCAGUAGAUCUCUGUGAGUUCGAGGCCAGCCUGGGCUACCAAGUGAGAUCCAGGACAGCCAGGGCUACACAGUGAAACUCUUGUCUAGAAAAAAAAAAACAGAAAAAAAAGAACAGGGCACAAGACUGACACACAGACCUACAGCCAGAGAGUGACAGCAUGACCACACAUGUCUGUGCACAGGCCUUCUCAGGGACAACAAUGUACCUCUUGUCCCACUGAGGCAAACUGGCAAGGAGGCUGCCAGAUUGAGAACACUGAGGCUGUGGGAGAGGGAAGUUGGGGUUAGGUGAAGAAACUUGAGGGGAUCUGACAGAACUGUUGGGGUGCAUUUUGGGAAAGAAUAAGUCAGAAACAAGAAGACUGGGACAGAGUGGCAGGAAGCUGGGAGUGAACAGUGACAAGUAGGUAAGGGGGAGUGGGCAAGGAGGUUAAACUGACAAUAGGUGGUAACAAUAGCAGCGAGAGACACAAAUUCUAUAGUAUAACAGUCAUAGAGAGCUUAUCACGGGUUGUAUUUCAUAUGCUGAAGUCCUGGCUCCCAGUACCUGGGAAUGUGACUUUAUUUGGAAAUCAGCUCUUUGCAGAUAAAGCAGGAUGAGGUCAGACUGGAGGGAGGUGGGCCCCUAAUCCAUGAAGAUCAGUGUCGUUACAAAAGAGGGGAAUUUGGACACAAACACACAGGAAGAUGUGAAGAUGGAAGCAAAGAUCUACAAGACAAAGCAGACCAAAGGUCACAGGCCAACCAGCAGAAUCCAGGCCAAGGCCAGGAACACAUCACCCCCUGAGCCUUCAGGGGCAGAAGGUCCUGUCAAUACCCACAUCUCGGACUUCUGUCCUCUGGACUGGGGGGAAAAUAAAUAAAUGUCUGUUGUUUUAAGGCUCCUUGUGGGUGGUAUUUUGCUAUCACAGCUCUAGCAAAUCAUUUCCAAAAUGUUUUCUCAUAUGUAAUAUCACUUAAUUCUAAAGUAUCUGUAUGAAGUAAAUACUCUCAUUUUUUCCUAGAUGAAAACACUGGGAUUCAGGACAUUUGAGUGACUUUACCAGGGUUAUUUAAUCAGUCUGAGGUACAUUCAGAACUGAGUUCAACUCUUGGUACUUUAUUGUAGAUCUAGUGAAACUUUAGAACUCUAAACACCUGAAGAUUCCUGAUAUGUUCUGAUUUUAUUCCUCAAUUCAAAAUUUAUUGUGAAUGUAUGUAUGUGGGAGUGUACAUUCCAUAAUAUGUGUGCAAGUCAGAGGAUAGUUUUUGGAAUUCAGUUUUCUCUUUCCAUCCAUGUAGGUCCCAGAGAUCAAACUAAGGUCAUUAGGCUUGGCAACACUUUUACCUGCUGAGACAUUUCCCUGGCCCCAAUUAAAAAAAUAAUGCUUUUAUUAAUUCCUUGAAAAUUUCAUACAAUGUAUUUUAAUCAUAUUCACCCAACUCCCCAACUCUUCUCAGACCCACUCUCUCCUCUCUACUUCAUGUUCUCUCUCUUUUCUAAAAAAAAAAAAAAAGCAAACAAACAAAAAAUGAAUCCAAUUUGUGUUAUUCAAAUACUCUUGGGUGUGGGCCCCUAAAUUUUAAAAUUAAUUUUUAGCAUAAAGAUAAUGACAUUUUUGUAUACAUAUAUCUGAGCAAUUUGCUUUUAUAUACUAAAAUAAUUAUUCUUUUUUAAAAUGUAUAUGCUGUGUGCCUAUUUGAAUUUUUGUAUACCAUGUUCAUGCAGGUGCCCUUGGAGACCAUAGGUCAUUAGAUUCCCUGGUACUAGAGUUUUUGUUUUGUUUUGUUUUUCUUUUUCUUUUUUGUUUUUUCGAGACAGGGAUUCUCAGUGAAACAGUCCUGGCUGUCCUGGAACUCACUCUUACUCUGUAGACCAGGCUGGCCUUGGACUCACAGAGGUCCACCUGCCUCUGCCUCCCGAGUGCUGAGAUUAAAGGUGUGUGCCACCACCACUGGCUCCUGGAACUAGAGUUUACAGAACAUUGUGACCCACCUGAUGUGGGUGCUGGGAACCCAACCAGAUUCCUUAUAGUGCGCUUGAUUGUUGAGCUAUCUCUCCAGCCCUGCAAUAUACACACUUUCAAUUUUCUUUUAAAGUGUUUAUUUCUCAAGUUUUAGGUAUGAUAGAUAUUGUUAAUUGAGUCAAGCACUACUUUCAUUACAUUCAACUAGUUUUUUCCAUGCUAUAGCUUUAGUUUCAUUCAUUUCAGUGUAUUAAAAUUUUUCUUCCAAAAAGUUUUUUUUCUUAUUACUUCCUCUUUGUAUUAGUCAGGGUUCUCUAGAGGAACAGAAUGACUCUGUAUACACACACACACACACACACACACACACACACACACACACACACACACGCACACACAUUAGAACGGCUUACAGGCGGUGGUCCAGCUAGUCCAACAAUGGCUGUCUACCAAUGGAAGGUCCAAGAAUCCAGCAGUUGCUCAGUCCAUGAGGCGAGAUGAGAUGAUCUUCAGUAUAUGCUGGAAUCCUGAAGAAAUAGGCUCUAAUGCCAGUGAAGGAAUGGACUUGCCAUCGAAAGCGAAGGCAAGCAGGAAAAGAGAGAGAGCGAGCAUCCUUCUUCCAUGUCUUUAUAUAGGCUGCCAGCAGAAGGUAUGGCCCAGAUUAAAGGUAAAUCUUCCCAUCUCAAAAGAUUCAGAUUAAAGGUGGGUAUUUCCACUUCAAAUGAUUUAAUUAAGAGAAAUCCUUCACAGGUGUACCCAGCUGCUUGGGUUUUAAUUUAUUCCAGCUGUAGUCAAGUUGACAGCCAAAGAAUAGCCAUCAUGCUCUUUGAUGCAUGGGUUGUUUAUUUAUGAUGCUGGGGAUCAAACCCAAGGUUUUGUGCAAGCUAGGCAAGCACUUUAUUUUUGAGCCACAUCCCCUGUCUGAAUAGUAAAUUGUUUAGAAGUGUGUUUAGAUUCAUUUCUUUUAUCAAGUACUAGGUUGUAUUGUGAUUGGAGAACACACUCUGUAUGAUUUCAGUUUUUAAAAAGUUUGUUGAAAUUUUCCUAGGACAUGGUCUAUAUUGAUAUGUAUUCCAUAGGCACUUGGAAAGAAUGGACAUUCUGCUAUUGGGUACUGUGCUCUAUAAAUAUCUUUUUUGAUUCUGCUUGUUGAUGGUAUUGUUGAGUUAUUUUAUAUUUCAGCUGAUUUUCUGUCUAGUUAUUGUUGUAAAAUUUAACCGAGGUUGGGUCUGAGGAGAUAUCUCAGCUAGUAAAGUGCUUGCUUCACAAUUCUGAGGACCUGAGUUUAAUUCUCAGAAUCUAUUUAAAAAGCUGGACAUAGUGGAAUGAAUUUCUAAUUCUAGCACUGGGGAGGCAGAGGCAGGAGGAUUCCUGGGCCUCACUGGCCAGCUAGCCUUGCCUACUUGUUGAGUUCCAGGCUAGUGAUAUACCCUGUCUUAAAAACCAGGCACACACACACCCAGAACUCGAGAGGCAGAGGCAGGCAGUUCUCUAUGAGUUCAAGGCCAGCCUGGUCUAUAAAGCAAGUUCCAGGACAGUCAGGGCUGUUAUACAGAGAAACCCUGUCUUGAAAAACCAAAAACAACAAUAACAACAACAAACAACACAACAAAAAAUCAAUCAAACAAACAACAACAACAAAACAAAGCACACAAUUCCUGAGGUACAACUUUGAAAAUUGUCCCCUGGCCUCCACUUUUGUGAGUGCAUGCACAUAUGUGAUGAAUACAUGUUCACAUGUGCAUGGACACACACACACACACACACACACACACACACACACACACACAC